GACGUAGGGCGCGAGCGUUGUCCGGAUUUAUUGGGCGUAAAGAGCUCGUAGGCGGCUUGUCGCGUCGAAUGUGAAAACCCACGGCUCAACUGUGGGCUUGCAUUCGAUACGGGCAGGCUAGAGUUCGGUAGGGGAGACUGGAAUUCCUGGGUGUAGCGGUGAAAAUGCGCAGAUAUCAGGAGGAACACCGGUGGCGAAGGCGGGGUCUCUGGGGCCGAUACUGACGUGAGGAGCGAAAAGCGUGGGGGAGCGAAACAGGG
RNAcentral lists this ribosomal RNA (260 nucleotides) under uncultured bacterium. Its description in RNAcentral is "partial 16S ribosomal RNA". It matches the Rfam family "Bacterial small subunit ribosomal RNA", at positions 524 to 777 of the family's 1533-position model. The record is from RNAcentral.